GACGAACGCUGGCGGCGUGCCUAAUACAUGCAAGUCGAACGAACUCUGGUAUUGAUUGGUGCUUGCAUCAUGAUUUACAUUUGAGUGAGUGGCGAACUGGUGAGUAACACGUGGGAAACCUGCCCAGAAGCGGGGGAUAACACCUGGAAACAGAUGCUAAUACCGCAUAACAACUUGGACCGCAUGGUCCGAGUUUGAAAGAUGGCUUCGGCUAUCACUUUUGGAUGGUCCCGCGGCGUAUUAGCUAGAUGGUGGGGUAACGGCUCACCAUGGCAAUGAUACGUAGCCGACCUGAGAGGGUAAUCGGCCACAUUGGGACUGAGACACGGCCCAAACUCCUACGGGAGGCAGCAGUAGGGAAUCUUCCACAAUGGACGAAAGUCUGAUGGAGCAACGCCGCGUGAGUGAAGAAGGGUUUCGGCUCGUAAAACUCUGUUGUUAAAGAAGAACAUAUCUGAGAGUAACUGUUCAGGUAUUGACGGUAUUUAACCAGAAAGCCACGGCUAACUACGUGCCAGCAGCCGCGGUAAUACGUAGGUGGCAAGCGUUGUCCGGAUUUAUUGGGCGUAAAGCGAGSSSMRGSSGKUUUUUAAGUCUGAUGUGAAAGCCUUCGGCUCAACCGAAGAAGUGCAUCGGAAACUGGGAAACUUGAGUGCAGAAGAGGACAGUGGAACUCCAUGUGUAGCGGUGAAAUGCGUAGAUAUAUGGAAGAACACCAGUGGCGAARGCGGCUGUCUGGUCUGUAACUGACGCUGAGGCUCGAAAGUAUGGGUAGCAAACAGGAUUAGAUACCCUGGUAGUCCAUACCGUAAACGAUGAAUGCUAAGUGUUGGAGGGUUUCCGCCCUUCAGUGCUGCAGCUAACGCAUUAAGCAUUCCGCCUGGGGAGUACGGCCGCAAGGCUGAAACUCAAAGGAAUUGACGGGGGCCCGCACAAGCGGUGGGAGCAUGUGGUUUAAUUCGAAGCUACGCGAAGAACCUUACCAGGUCUUGACAUACUAUGCAAAUCUAAGAGAUUAGACGUUCCCUUCGGGGACAUGGAUACAGGUGGUGCAUGGUUGUCGUCAGCUCGCGUCGUGAGAUGUUGGGUUAAGUCCCGCAACGAGCGCAACCCUUAUUAUCAGUUGCCAGCAUUAAGUUGGGCACUCUGGUGAGACUGCCGGUGACAAACCGGAGGAAGGUGGGGAUGACGUCAAAUCAUCAUGCCCCUUAUGACCUGGGCUACACACGUGCUACAAUGGAUGGUACAACGAGUUGCGAACUCGCGAGAGUAAGCUAAUCUCUUAAAGCCAUUCUCAGUUCGGAUUGUAGGCUGCAACUCGCCUACAUGAAGUCGGAAUCGCUAGUAAUCGCGGAUCAGCAUGCCGCGGUGAAUACGUUCCCGGGCCUUGUACACACCGCCCGUCACACCAUGAGAGUUUGUAACACCCAAAGUCGGUGGGGUAACCUUUUAGGAACCAGCCGCCUAAGGUGGGACAGAUGAUUAGGGUGAAG
This 1493-nucleotide ribosomal RNA is filed under the name Lactiplantibacillus plantarum. RNAcentral describes it as "bacterial SSU rRNA". It matches the Rfam family "Bacterial small subunit ribosomal RNA". The record is from RNAcentral. Lineage: Bacteria; Bacillati; Bacillota; Bacilli; Lactobacillales; Lactobacillaceae.